Molecule: long non-coding RNA, 620 nt
Filed under: Ananas comosus (pineapple)
Lineage: Eukaryota; Viridiplantae; Streptophyta; Magnoliopsida; Poales; Bromeliaceae
Description: long non-coding RNA (ACOM_LNC040950)
Source: RNAcentral
AUAGGGCAGCAAAAAGAAUUCCUGUGUUUUAUCAUCAGCAUGUUGUUUUUCUUUGUUUAAUUGUGAACUUCCUUCCCCUUUUAUGCAGCUGAAGCACAUAAAAUAGGAUGCUGAGAUGAUUAAGGAUGAAUAUCCCAACUAGAGUUCAGCUGAAACAUAUAAAAUUGAAUAUUUGAUCAGACUGCAUUUUUUUUUUGAUUUAAGAAUAUCCAAACUACUAUAUGAGUUAAAUUUUUACGUGUCGUAUGUAUUUAGGAUUUUUUUUUGCGUGUGCUCUUUAACAAGUCUUUCUGGAGCAAAAAAUUGAAGAAGCACACGAGCUCUCUAUAUAAUAGAGGAUCUUGAGUUGCAACUGAGUAAAGAGCAAGAAGAAUAUAAAAGAUUUUGAUUUUUAAUAUUUUUUAAUAUUUAUAUUCAAUUUAGAACCCUGAGCAUUUCCUUCUCUGCUUGAGUGGCAUUGAAAAUAUGACAAAACAUUACAGAGUGCUUCAAGACAAAAAGAUAAUAAUAUUACUUUUGCAUUCCGUUUAUUAAUUAUUGUUUACUUUGUAGGAUUACUUUGAAAUUGAAGAAGUUUAAUUAUUAAAGUCAUAGGCAUAAAGCACAACAGAAGCUAAAAA